This is a long non-coding RNA of Exaiptasia diaphana, 369 nucleotides long. RefSeq lists it as uncharacterized. NCBI's taxonomy places the organism in Eukaryota, Metazoa, Cnidaria, Anthozoa, Actiniaria, Aiptasiidae. The record is from RefSeq and is a predicted model, not a curated record. The transcript has 2 exons.
GCCUCGUGGCACAUAAGACCUCAACAUGCGUUAUAUAAGCAAACCAAUUUGYACUUAUUUUAUUUGAGUUAACGCAGUGCUUUGACAAAACAAAAUGGCAUUCAAAACCAUAAUCACUUUGACUCUUGCUUUCGCUAUAUUUUUUGAAACUGCCUCGGCUGGAUUGCUGAGUGUGUUAGACCAUGUUCGACAAACCAGAAGCAAUCAAAAACCGAAGAACAGGACAUACAAAAUGAAACAGACAAAGAGGAGCGAUACGCAAGACGCAAAGAGCUUACAUGAACUCUGUGGACUUUGCGAGCAAGGAUAUGUACUUAACUGAUCCGUUACAGUAUUGAUUAUAACAAAAUAAAAAAAUCCGUAUACAAA